RNAcentral lists this ribosomal RNA (383 nucleotides) under uncultured Glomus. Its description in RNAcentral is "SSU rRNA". It matches the Rfam family "Eukaryotic small subunit ribosomal RNA", at positions 569 to 957 of the family's 1831-position model. Lineage: Eukaryota; Fungi; Glomeromycota; Glomeromycetes; Glomerales; Glomeraceae. The record is from RNAcentral.
AGCAGCCGCGGUAAUUCCAGCUCCAAUAGCGUAUAUUAAAGUUGUUGCAGUUAAAAAGCUCGUAGUUGAAUUUCGGGAUCAAUUUAUUGGUCGUGCUAUUGUACGUACUGGUAUUAUUGAUUCCUACCUUCUGACGAACCAUGAUGUCAUUAAUUUGGUGUCAUGGGGAAUCAGGACUGUUAACUUUGAAAAAUUAGAGUGUUUAAAGCAGGCUCACGCUUGAAUACAUUAGCAUGGAAUAACGAAAUAGGACGUUUGAUUCUAUUUUGUUGGUUUCUAGGAUCGACGUAAUGAUUAAUAGGGAUAGUUGGGGGCAUUAGUAUUCAAUUGUCAGAGGUGAAAUUCUUGGAUUUAUUGAAGACUAACUACUGCGAAAGCAUUUG